RNAcentral lists this long non-coding RNA (4880 nucleotides) under Mus musculus (house mouse). RNAcentral describes it as "long non-coding RNA chr8:109180754-109185634". Lineage: Eukaryota; Metazoa; Chordata; Mammalia; Rodentia; Muridae. The record is from RNAcentral.
UACUAGAAUUAAAAGUAUAUAUGCUACCGUGCCCAGCUUAUUUCUGUAUUUUCUUCGGAAAAAAAAUUCCAUCUUUAUUCUUUGGCAAUUUUCAAAUUGGAUCUCAGUCUUCAUUUCCUUAUUGAGCUGCACGUGUCCUUUACCCACCACAAAGACGAGUUUCUUACUGGAUAUAUAACCUGCAGACAGUUUCUCUCGAGGUCAGCAUUUUAUCUUCUUGAUAGUCUCCAAAGAGCAAACGUUUGUUUCAGUUUUGGUGUUGUUUUAGCCCAGCGUGGUAAUGGUUGUUUAUAUCUAAUUCCAGCACUGGCAAGACCAAGCCAGGAGGACACCAAGUGAAGUCCGACUUAGGGUACAUAGUGAGACUCUGUCUGUUUGAGAAAUGAUGACGCCUGGGACAUCCAUCCUUUCUAUUAUAGCUCAGAGUGCCCAAGGAGUCACACCCAAGGCAAAGCCAAGACUAUCUACCUCUCUGGUUUUCUCAUCGGUGCUUUUAGCCCUUAAGUUUGAAUCUUUGCUCUGUUGCCAUGGAAUUGCACAUACAUUGGGAGGUGAAACUGCUUCAUUGUUUUGCAUGUGGAUGUGUCUUUUGUCAAAGUUCUUUUUUUUUUUUUUUUUUUUUAAACCUCUUCAGACUUGCUGAAAAACAGCUGAGAAAUAUAAGGGUGUAUUUUAAAAUCCGAAUUCUCUUUCCAUUUACUGGGGAGUUUAAAAUUUUGAGUUUCCUCUGUCCAAUGGUGUUCUCUUAAUUUUAGUUGUAAACCUGCACUUCUGUUGUUACAUUUAUUCACAGGUGUUUUCUUUUUUUAAUUGAUGCUAUCACAAAUGCUAUCACUUAAUUUGUUUUUAAAUUUUAUUGAUAUAUUGGUAGGGUAUAGAGAACUGGGUAACUUUAGAUGUUGGUAUCUUAGUCUGAUAUCUUGAUGAACUCAUUUAACAUAUUUAAGUUUUUAAAAUCUACUCCUCAAGACCUAAAUGUCGUUGCCAGAUGGUUUCAAUAAAACCAAUUUUGUGUGGAUUGCAUUAAUUUUCUGACAGUUGGUUUGUUGAUUGUUUUGAAUACCUUUGUUAGUAUCCCAUUCAUGGGAUCUUUGGAAUGCGGUUCGUUCCUUGCUAUGAUAGUCUUUCAGUGGCCUGUGUCUGGCUUCCUUCAGUAAAACUGCAGGUCUUGGGCUAGCAUUUGGGUGUUCAGCACAGAGUAAUAUGAAGGCGUUGGUACAAUCAACCUUGGCCAUAUCCUUUAACUAAGGAGCCUACCCCAGGUCCCAACAUCAAACUACAGUGCUCCCCACCACGUCUCCAUGUCUGUGAAAUCCAUUUAAUCUUUCUCACUACACCAGAACCUAACUACUGGUUUCCUCUAGAGUUCAGCCUGUAGCAGCUCAGACCUGCACGGUGUUGUGUGUUUCUGUUUCUGAAGCAUGUAUGCCUGUAAUGUCAGUCAGAUAAAAGCAGCUCAGCGAAGGACGAAGGACGAGUUUGUUUUGGCUCACGGUUUCAGAGUACAGGAUGUGAUGGUGCACACGGAAUGGCAGCAGGAGUGUGAGGCAGCUGGUCACACUGCAUCCAUAGCCCGAAAGCAGGAAGCCGGAAGCCGAGAGAACUGGAGAAUGGUGCUCUGUUCACAUUUCCCUUUGUAUGCAGUCUAGGAUGUGAGCCCCUGGGAUAGUACUGUCUGCAUCCGGAGGUGAUUCUCAGUUAGAGCUCCACGGGACCCCUCUUACUGACACACUAAGUGUGUCUCCUAGAUGAUUCUAAAUCUAUAGAGUACAGUAACCAUUACCAGUGGCCGUCUGAUUUGAUUUUCUUACCCAAUUCAAGAAACUAGUAUAAUUUUAACAGUAUUUAAAGUAGUGAAUAAUAAGAAAUUAUAGAAGAGACUAAAUGGUCUUGCUAUCACUUCAGAGCUCCAGCUAUUGCUUAUUGUAGUGUAAGUUUUCAGAAUAUAUUUCAAGAACAUUCCCUAAUGUGGUAGAAUUCUCCCUGGUAAAUUCUAUGGUUUAUUGACAUUUAUUUACCAUGUUUUCAUUUCAUUACUUUAAUUCUAUAAGGUUAUUUUCACAGGCUUAUAUUUAAAAUUAUACAGCUUGGAGAACUUUUUAUUGAAUUAUUUUUUAACUUAAAAUAUAAUUACAUCAUUCCCCUUGUCUUUCCUUGCUCCAACCAUUCCCUUAUACCCCUCUUGUUCUCUCUCAAAUACAUGCUCUCUAUGUGUGUUUAUGUGUAUAUAUACAUAUACAUCAUAUACAUACACAUACAUAUACAUAUAUAUGCCUAUACAUCCCUAAAUAUACAAAUACAACCUGCUCAGUCCCCAUAGUGUUACUUGUACGUACAUGAUUUCAGAGAUGGCCACACAGUGUUGGAUCACUGAUCUGUGGUUUCUCCAGUUCUCAUCAUCCCUUAGUUAACUGCAGUCCUUUGACUAGACUGAGGCCUAAUGAGAUUUCUCCUUCUCUUGGUCGUGUCUAUCGACGUUGUCCUUGUUCAGAGUUUGUUUAGGUAUCCGUGCUGAUGAGAUUUCCUGGGUUUAUCUUCUCUGGUAUUCCUAAUAGUAAAAUCUCACAGCAAACUUAUGGUAAUCUGGCUCAUGACUACCUUUUCUCUCAUCUUUCCUGGUUCAUCUUGAUCAGGAGCCAUCUUUCCUCUCAUCUUUGCUGGUGUAGAUGGAUGGGUUGGGACUGGGCAGCCCGUGCUCACUUGCUCUCUGCAUUUUAUGUAGUUGUGACUUUCUGCAGUCAUGUCUGACUGUUGCAAGGAAAUGCUUCUUUGAUGAGAGAUGAGACUAAGAUAUGCAUAAAAGGAUAGAGAUUUAGGAUGUAGUUAUUGAUUAUGCUGAUUUAUAUCCUCUGAGUUAUAUCCUUGGCCAUAUAUUUAUAUGGCUUAUAUAUGUGGCUAUAUUUAAGUGGUGGGUUUUAGGUUCUCCUCGCAGAUUAGUGACUUUAUCAGCCUUGGGGAGCUGGCUAGGUCUCCAGUACCAGGCGUGGGUUUCUUCAUGUUGAGAGGAUCUUAAGUCCAAUUUGACAGCUGUUGGUUAUCACCAAGUUGUGUGUGCCCCUAUUGCAAAUUGUGCCAUGGCGGUCAUUGUUUUAGUUUGGAGCCAUAGAGCAGGGUAGGGCUAUCAGUUGCUUGGAAGCCUGUGUGGAGCCUUCUGAUACCACGAGAACUAGUUCUCAGGGACUUUAAAAAAGUAAAAUAUGCCGGGCGUGAUGGCACACGCCUUUAAUCCCAGCACUCGGGAGGCAGAGACAGGCAGAUUUCUGAGUUCGAGGCCAGCCUGGUCUACAAAGUGAAUUCCAGGACAGCCAAAGCUAUACAGAGAAACCCUGUCUCAAAAAACCAAAUAAAUAAAUAAAUACAUAAAAAAGUAAAAUAUACUAUUAUAAUUGUAUGUUCUAAAGGGAAAUCUAUUUUAUGAUUCAAAGAAUAGAACACAAGCCUCAUUCCAGGAAAAUAAGUGUUGACAUUACAUUAAUUGAUGGUUUGGCAUCCUCUAACACUUUGGAAGUAGGAUUUUCAUAAUAGACAUCUGAAAACAACAAUUCUUAUUCAGUAAGAAUUUCCUUUUUGGAGAUUGGUAGACCCAAAAGAAAGAGAAAAAGUAGAAGUCUUUAACCCAUUCGAGAAACUUGAACUCAAGGAUGCUGGGUAAGGAUGGCUGGGGAGGAGUACCAAGCAGAUUUGAAUCUGUAAGAAAUCAAGGAUGAAGGUAGCAGAGAACAGGAAUGAGGUGUGCCGUGCAGCACUCAAGUAGGUGACCGACCGUAAGAACCUGGGUGCUCAUCUGGGAGGACGGACUGCCGAAGCCGGAUUCCGGCGGGCAUUUUAGGGCCGUGUUAAGGUGAGAAGAAGAAAGUAGUUCUUCGUGCCCUGCAACUAUCUAAUAAUACGCUGCCAUAGCUGUCUUCUAAUUGUAGGAGGUGCUUUAUUGGAAAUCUCAAGUUUGAACUCCUCAGACUCUGUCCGUCUCCUAUCCCUCUAGGGCCAGCUCAGCCCUUCAUCCUGUCAGAGCGCAUAAAACAGAACAGCUUACAAUUUGCUAUGAAGGGGUCUUCGGGAUGAAGCAUCUUAAUGUCUGGAAAGAUUAGACGGGAUCUUCAUGCUUAAAGACUCCCAUGAAACAUUUCAAAUCACACGGAUGUGUCUCGGUGCCCUUUGCCAAAAUUAAUAGAUUUAGGCUGUGGAGUUAGAAGAAGGCUAAGUAUCCAUACCCACCUAUCAUCCAAUAACAUUUACUAUUUUUAAAUCUUCUUAUAGCUCCUGUACUCUUAAACUGAGAAUAUAUUAAGUCAGAAAGGCUACCUAUUUUAGACUCCUGUAAGUUAACACAUAGGGGCAAUUUCGAUGUAUAGUGACAUUCUAGAAAUAAAUAUCACACACAAUGACCUAGAGACUACACCAUGUUGAUCGCAUGCGGCUGUUUUUACUUGCUUGCUUGUUUGUAAUUUUGACUAUUUAUCAGUCUGAGGUUGACCCGCCUUUCUGGUUUCAAAUAGCUAUUCCAAGAGCCCUGAUAAAGAAUGGCACAGAGGGACCAUGGCGUAAUAAACCACCAAGUGAGCUACUUUGAAUUCCUCUCAUGUUCUGAGAACGAGAAUGUCUUAAGCUUUGAUAGAACAGGGCAAUUUUAUAUUUUCCGUCUGACUACUUUAAAAGGUUCAUUGUCUUUUAAUUAAACUACGGUGGGGGGGGGGCUGCUGGGGGAGAGAGCAGAGAUUAAAAGCUGUCGUGCUGUAAACGGGGUGGCUUUUAGCAACUAGUAGAUGAGUGAAGCCACCACCUCAAGCAAGAUGAACUACAGCAACAAGUUCUGUGCCUCGAAGCUUCUCCUUGUCUGACUGUAGCAGUAAUUUGGAGUUAAUUUGUGUGGCUUCCGCAGU